UUUAAAUUGCUGUGGUAUUUUGACUAUACAAAGGUAUUGUAAUAAGAUUUUAAUUGAAUGCUAAAAGAAUGGAAAUUUAAAGAAAAACUUUUUUAAAAAUAAAAAUUGAAUUUUUUUUAAUUUGUGCAAAAACAAUUAUUAUUAUUAAAGACAAGAAGACCCUAAGAAUUUAUGAUUUUACCAAAAGAAAUUUCUUUUGGUAAAAUCUUGAUUGGGGCGAUCGAAAAAUAUUAAUAACUUUUAAUAAUUUAAAUUGAUCUAUUAUUAAUAAGCUAAUGAAUAAAAUACUCUAGGGAUAACAGCGUAAUAAUUUUUGAUAGACCUUAUUGACAAAAUAGUUUGCGACCUCGAUGUUGGAUUAGGAUUCUUUUUUAAUGAAGAAGUUAAAAAAAGAAGUUUGUUCAACUUUUAAAUUCCUACUUGAUCUGAGUUCAGAACCGGA
Molecule: ribosomal RNA, 442 nt
Filed under: Hyalomma truncatum
Lineage: Eukaryota; Metazoa; Arthropoda; Arachnida; Ixodida; Ixodidae
Description: partial large subunit ribosomal RNA
Rfam family: Bacterial large subunit ribosomal RNA (bases 150-442)
Source: RNAcentral